UAGUUUUACUUUAUUUUUGUGAUACUUGGUCACUUAAAAUUAAAUUAAAAUUAAUUCCCUUAACGAGGAGCUUAACCUGGAGUUAAGAAGUGGUCGACGAUUAAAUCAGGUACGUAAGUCAAACUUUACCUAUUUAAUUUUAGCACUUCAUGCAUGCUUCUUUUCUACUCCUAAAAAUUCUACAACUGCAUAAAUGCAUUCAUACCAUCAUAUAGGCAUGUAAAUUGCCUCAAUUAAAAUAUGAUUAAGCUAAAUGCCCGGUUAAUUAAUAAUCGUGGUAUCAAAGUUUAAAUCCGACAAUAUUGGCUUAAAAUAUCUAGUCAUUCAAUGGCUAUGGUAUGAUUGCCUUUAUUUCGAACAAUUUUCAGCUUAAGUCCAAUUAAUCAAUAAUUGUGGCUAAAAGCCUUAAUCAAUCAUGUUUUGGCAACAAAUUGCCUACAGUUAAAUCAAAGUUUUGGCAAAAUGCCUUAAAACUCAAUCAAUCUUUGGGUUUUAAAACCGAAAAAUCAAUCAUUUUGGCGACAAUCGCCCAACCAACUUCAUUUUGGCAAUCAAUUGCCUAAAUCACUCUUUUCGGCUAAAAGCCUUAAAAUCAAUCAUUUUUACGACAAUCGCCUAAAAAUUAAUCAUUUCUGGCAACAAUUUCCUAAAUCAAUCUUUUGGGCUUAAAGUCAUUAAAAUCAACACUUUUUGGCAUCAAAUGCCUAAAAAUCAAACUCUUUGGCAAAAUGCCUAAACAAAAAAUGCACAAAGCAUACAUACACUCAUGCAUUAAGCAUACCCAUUCAAAGCCCUUCAAAGAAGGCCUAUCGAACUACGUUGACUUUGAUCUUCCAUUCAAACGGAAGUACGUAGGCAC
Molecule: long non-coding RNA, 859 nt
Filed under: Jatropha curcas
Lineage: Eukaryota; Viridiplantae; Streptophyta; Magnoliopsida; Malpighiales; Euphorbiaceae
Description: long non-coding RNA (JCUR_LNC000002)
Source: RNAcentral